Molecule: RNA transcript, 2807 nt
Organism: Dermochelys coriacea (leatherback sea turtle)
Lineage: Eukaryota; Metazoa; Chordata; Testudines; Dermochelyidae
Gene name: histone H2A.J
Exons: 3
Source: RefSeq, a predicted model, not a curated record
UUUUCCAUUCGUGUUUUUGCGAACCGUGGUUUCUGUGGUGAAGAAGAGUUGCGAUGUCGGGCCGAGGGAAACAAGGCGGUAAAGUGAGGGCUAAGGCAAAGUCUCGUUCAUCUCGGGCUGGCUUGCAGUUUCCGGUUGGCCGUGUUCACCGGCUUCUUCGGAAGGGUAAUUAUGCUGAGCGAGUUGGAGCUGGAGCCCCUGUAUAUAUGGCUGCUGUCUUAGAAUAUCUGACCGCUGAGAUUCUCGAGUUGGCUGGUAACGCUGCUCGGGAUAACAAAAAAACCAGGAUCAUCCCCCGCCAUCUGCAGCUCGCCAUCCGUAACGACGAGGAGCUCAACAAGCUACUGGGGAAAGUCACUAUCGCUCAAGGGGGUGUCCUGCCCAACAUCCAAGCAGUGCUGCUGCCUAAGAAAACCGAAAGUCAUAAAGCCAAGAGCAAGUAAAAGUGACUUGGAGGAAACGGUAUAACCGAAUUUGUGCUUAAAAUAAUUUUAAAAAAUAACCCAAAGGCUCUUUUCAGAGCCACCCACAGGAUCAGAAAAGAGCUAAAUUAUUUUGUCUUACGGAUUUAAUAAACCUUGAUGUGAAAUACAAACUUCCUGCUGUCAUGCAACAACUGUCUCUCCAGGUUGAGGAGCCAGACCCAGAGAACAUACUAGGUGCAUGAAAGAAAUGGCGAGUGUUAGUGCUUGAGGGAGGCGCGGGGAGAUGAGAGGAGGAGUGAAGAAGGAAAUCUCUGCAUGCUGGCUCAAGGCUCAAGUUACUGUAAUUAAUAAUAACAGUUAAUUAGUAAUUAAUAAUAAAAAGGAUAGUUCCAAAGUUAGCUCUUGACUGAACACUUACCAAGUGAAACAGGAGUGUGUAUUUUGUAAUCCCUGGGUAUUCGCAACAAUGAAACUUGGACCAUUAUUCACAAUUCCUUCCCUGGCUCAACAGAGAAACUUUCAAUCUAAACAUCUGUACGGACAUAGAUAAUAUUUCACUGUUAGGUACAUAUCAGGUGGGUCACCUUAGAUUCAUAUAAUGUACAGAAGUAUGAUAGUGCAUAACCAUAUUAACAACAUUUCACACAUAUACAGUACUUUUUAUGUGGUUGCAAACUUUUACUACUUUAUUUUGGCAAAAUGGCUGUGAGAUCAGUAGACAAACAGGACCAUCCCAUUUAAGAGGGGAAACUGAAAUAAGAGAAGGGAGUUUUUUAGUCAAGGCCAAAGGAGAAGGAAUCACUUACAGAUCAGGAAUAGAACUAGUGAGACUAUUUUUUUCUGUCUCUUCCAAAACAGAAUUUAAUUUGGUGCCAUAAGAAUCUUUAUGUUUCAUACUUUGUGCAAUUUUAUCAGGACAUUUGGUCAACAUAUUGUUUAGUAGAAAAAAUGGCAUCUUUCCCAUAGAACAUCUUCCCUCAUGUUCACUAACUAAUCUUUUAACAACUGAAAAGUUUCUUCUUUUUCUUAUGAUUAAUACAUGAUCAUAGUUGCAUACUGUUAGGCACUAUAAGGCUGUUUAAAAUAUUAAGGCCAUAGACAAUAAAACUGAUGAAGAAAAUAUGUUCUUAAAUAUUUUAUAAAAGUUUAUGGAUUAAUAUUCUCAACUUUAACUUAAUCUCAAAAUAAAUUAAUAUUAGGAAAAAAAUAAAGUGUUGCACAAAAUAAUUACAUCGUCAAAGAUGUAAACAUGUUAAUUUAAUUGAACAGAUUCCAGAAACCACAAAGUAAGUCUCCCAGGCUCAUUUAUAUUAUUUCAUUGAGCAUAUAAAUUAACAUAUUUUCUUUAAAUUUCUGAUCACAGAAGAGCAAUAAAAAAUGUGACUGAUUCAUUGGUCAAUAUAGGAGCAAACUAGCUUUGACUUGUAAAACAUAUACAUAUUUUCUUUAUGUAUACAGUCUAAUUGGGGCAACAAUAGAGAAUGAACUUAAGCAUUUAUUUGUUUUAUUGUACUGUAUAAUGUCAUAGACUGAAAAUUAUGUCUCUUCACUUGUUAUUAUGUGGUAAUACUGUAACAUAAAUGAAUUCCCAAUUAGAACAAAAUGGGCACAGUAUAUAUCACUCAGCAAAUUCCACAAAAACAAGAGGGGUUCCUCAGGGGCUCAUUGAAAGAGGCCUCUUUACACUGAUUGAAAGAAAAAAAUCCCAAAAGAUUUGGAUGAGAAAAAAAUUAAUUUGGCUUAGUUGUGUGAAGUCUUUAAGUCUGUUAGUCUUUAAGGUGCCACAGGACUCCUCGUUGUUUUUGUGGAAACAUCCUGACAAUGUAAAUAGUUAAUAGUACAUAAUUAAUAUAAUUUGUUGAACUAUUUCAUUUUUUUCUGGUUGGGAUUUGUUGUUGUGUCCUCAUUUUCAGCCUCUUUGGGAGGAUGGACAAAGCUUAGGAGGGAUGAGAUAUUGUAUGUUUUGUUUAACCUUGUUAUGGAUGUGAGUUACUACCCUUCUUUUAAGAUAGUGGUGAGAGCUAGUUAAGCAGCUCACCACCACCACCCAAUCACCCAGUCCACCCAGGAUUGUUAAUCAUGAUGGCAGAGGACUUUAUCUGAGCAUUGUUUGGGUAACUGUGUAUGUGUAUUUGGAGGAAGAGGGGGGAUGAGAUGCAUCAGGACACAGAGUCAGAAAGGCAAUUAGUGUUGCUGUUAGACAGAAAUGUUCGUAAUGUGGUCCUGCAACAAAGCUAAGACAGAAAGCUGUUUAAGCAGAGUGCUGGCUGAAAAGUCAGGUUUGGAAAAGUCACCAAACUCUCUCUUGCUAUUUGAUUGCUCCUGUGAUUGGGGAAACAGGACUGUAUGUAUGAUUUUGUAAAUAAAGAAGAUUGCAUCAAA